UGGGGAAUAUUGCACAAUGGGCGCAAGCCUGAUGCAGCCAUGCCGCGUGUAUGAAGAAGGCCUUCGGGUUGUAAAGUACUUUCAGUCGGGAGGAAGUUGUCAAGGUUAAUAACCUUGGCAAUUGACGUUACCGACAGAAGAAGCACCGGCUAACUCCGUGCCAGCAGCCGCGGUAAUACGGAGGGUGCAAGCGUUAAUCGGAAUUACUGGGCGUAAAGCGCACGCAGGCGGUUUGUUAAGUCAGAUGUGAAAUCCUCGGGCUCAACCUGGGAACUGCAUCUGAUACUGGCAAGCUUGAGUCUCGUAGAGGGGGGUAGAAUUCCAGGUGAAGCGGUGAAAUGCGUGGAGAUCUGGAGGAAUACCGGUGGCGAAGGCGGCCCCCUGGACGAAGACUGACGCUCAGGUGCGAAAGCGUGGGGAGCAAACAGG
This 429-nucleotide ribosomal RNA is filed under the name Chloroflexota bacterium. Its description in RNAcentral is "Chloroflexi bacterium partial 16S ribosomal RNA". It matches the Rfam family "Bacterial small subunit ribosomal RNA", at positions 355 to 776 of the family's 1533-position model. The record is from RNAcentral. Lineage: Bacteria; Bacillati; Chloroflexota.